CUAGCGUGGGAACCUCAUAUGCCGCAGGUGCAGCCCUGGAAAAGACAAAAAGACAAAAAAGGAAGUGGCCCUAAAGAAAGAAAGAAAGAAAGAAAGAAAGAAAGAAAGAAAGAAAGAAAGAAAGAAAGAAAGAAAAAUUUGCAUUAAAAUUAUUUGCGCUUCUCUGAGUCUUCUGACUAAUGAUUUCAUAAAUGUAUAUUCCUGAACCUGAUUUCUGAGGACAUAACCACCUACAUGGUGUGACUUGAGGGACAAAGCUCUCCCACCCUGCCUGCUGUAGUGCCUCAAUUCAUACUCAAGAUCAGUUCUCUGUCCUUGUCCCAUCUAAAAUUCCUAGCCCAUCGCACAGGGGUAUGUGGGCCACACCGUGAGAAAUCUUGAAUUAGAGAUUGCAACCUUUUGUCAACUAAUUUGCCAUUUGCUUUUGAGGAUGGAGUUCUUUGCUGUAGAGAGGUUUUGGGUUUCUGGGUGGCUAAGUCUGUCAUUCUUUGCCUUUGUGAUUUUUGCUUUUGGUAUCAAGCUUUCAAAGUCCUUGGCUAGCCCGAGGUAAUUUAAAAUAACUACCUCCUGAGUGCCUGGUGGUCUGACAACGAAUAGGCCCUCUUGGCUUAAGGCGCAUGCUCUGUUGAAAACACAAAUGCAUUUGCAAACUUCACGUUCAUGGUUUGCAUACAUCAUGGGAACCUUGAUAUGUAAGAAAUUAUCUUGGUGCUGAGGCAUAGAUGUGAAUCCACGUGCUAAGAGGCUUUAGGCGGUGAGUGCUCCUAUUGCUCUACCAGCACCUAUUACAUAUAUUACAUAUAUAAUGUGUAUUUUCUAUAUGCAUAUAAAAUAUAUUAGAUAUUAGAUAUAUACAUGUAUAGCAGCAAAAUGUAUGUAACGCAAAAUUUGACAUUUUAACCGUUUUAAGGGUACAAUUCAGUGGCAUUAGGGAUCUUCACAGGGUUGUGCAGUCAUCACCAUUAUCCAUUUCCAGAGCUUUGAAAUCAUCCCAACCAGAAACUCAGUACCUAUUAAAUAAUAACUUCCUAUUCUCCCCUUCCCCCAGCCCCUUGGUAACCUCUAUUCCACAUUCUGUCUCUAUGAAUUCACCUAUUCUGGAUUAUUUCCUGUGAGUGGAAUCUUGCAAUAUGUGGCCUUUUGUGCCUGACUUCAUUCACUUAGCAUCUUGUUUCCAAGGGCCAUCCAUGUAUCAGUACUUCAUUCCUUUCUAUGCCUGAGUAAUGUUCCACAGGAUGAAUAUACCGCAUUUUGUUUAACCCAUUCAUCUGCCCAUGGACCCUGGGGUUGUUUCUACCUGUUUGUUCUGGGAAAGAACGCUGUUACGGACAUUGGUGUACAGGUAUCUCUUUGAGUUCAUUCUUUUGGGUCUCUACCUAGGAAUGGCGUUGCCCGGCACCUACUUUUCAACCCAGUUUUGUGGUCCUCUACUCAUAGUCAAUCCAUACAAGCGUAGUAAUGCCCAUGAAAUGGGCGAACGUCUGUUUCUUUGGGGAAAAUGCCCCUCCCCAAGUCUCCUGCUUGUUCGAGUGAUUACAAUGAAAAGAAAGCUACGACGUUUAACCAAAUGACAGAAAUAGAAGCUUUACGGGGGAAAUGAUAUGCUUUCGGGAUGCUCCGGAAUUAGGGACUGGCAGAAGUUUGAGUGUCUUUUUCAUGAAUGGCCAGGGUCUACCCGAGUUUCCCACUCAGCGUUUCCUCUUUACAUGCGACGGCUUUACUCGUCAUGGACCACUUUGUGUGCAUUGGUUUAUCGGAGCUUCCUUCGGGGUGACAGCUCACUGGGAGUAGGGUUCUAUGGGAAUGGAACAUGGAAAAACCAAGUUUGGAGAAAAGAAGCAGAGAGACGGGGCCGGAGUCCUUGAAAGGCUCGCUGCAGGGCUCUGGGCAGCCUGAGAGCUCCAGAGGUCUGGAUGGGAGGUUCAGGCUCUUCGAGAAAGGUGGCGAGAACUGAACAUGUAUUUCACCUCCUCCUUUUCCUCCUCCAGUUUGCCAGGAAUGGACCCAUGGGAGCCCACACCUCAGAAAAUACCUCUUUCCAGGGUGACCUUACUUUCCCUCCCUGCCUGAGGAGAAGGUUAACAAUGCUGCUUAUAUGUGCACUUCCAGAUAAACUGACCAGCUCUCAAUUCCAGGUAGAGCAUUGGAUCCUUUCCAUAACAGGUCCUGAAGGCCAGGAAGUCUGGGUAAAUGGAGAUGGAUGUGUCUGGCCAAGGCCACCAAGGUCUCUGGGUCCCCUGAGUGAGGGAGCCCAGCAGAGCGCUUGGGAGUGGCUGAGAGGAAGAGGGUUGACUGCACGUGGUGGCCAUGGUGCUGUGUUUGCUCAUCACGAUUCUGCUCCUACCUGAACUUUCUCCUCUUAUGUAAGGCAUCUCUCAAGAUAACUACACAGCCACAAUCGGCCAUAGCUGGCUGGGUUUACAUAACAAAUUGGUUGGCGUCAUGCAAUGGCCUCUGGAAAAGCCAACGUGCUGAGUGGGCCUGAGGCUUGGGCUCACUUGGUGGGGCACUCUGUGUGCUCAGUGCACUCAAGGGAGAGCAUUCCUUGACCACAGGGGUCAAAAAAAGACGAAAUUUCCCUUUUAGAUGAAGAGGGCAAUAAUGGCCUGGACGUGUUGUGCUGUCCCAAUGCCUGCAAUAAUGGGACAAGGGUUAGGGCUUUGCUGUGGGGCCCCAGCUUUGGCAGAGCAGGCCCUCCUUCGAACCCUGUGGGCUAAUGGGAUCUCCGGGAGGGCCAGAAGGCUAGAUCCCAGCCUCGAAUGAUGAGGAGUCAGGGCAGGGAAAGGGAUCACGGAAGCCACCGUGUACCACGCCAAAAUCCAGUUUAGCUAAGGAGUCAGAGUUGGGGAUAAGACGAGGUCUGUGAGAAUAGAGAACGAGCUUUUUUCGGAUGCUAAUCCAGGCAGGAGGGGCAAGGCCAAGUCCCUGGUACCUUCUAGCUGGAAAGCCCUGCCCCAAAGGAGCGACUGCUCUUCUGGAACCAGUUUAAGGGGUGUGAGAUCCCAGCCAGCACAGAGACUGAUUGGGAAGCUUCCCAUUGUGCAGACACUGGCCCAAAGGGAAACAAGAGCCAGAAGCACGCCUGGUCAGCGAGGCCUCAGGCACGCUAUCAGCCUUCCUCCCCUGGGAGCCACUUUCCUCAAAUAGACCGAGCCUGAAAUCAGGCCCCUGCCUGUGGACCAAGCCCCACAGGGACCUUCCCCAUCCUUCCUCGAAGGAAGAAUUUACUCACGAAACAACCCUGGGUAUGCAACCUACUUCCUCUUGUCUCCUUUUCAGGGGAGAUGGAGAGCAGCUGCUCACAGCUUAGGGGUCUGGCCAGGAGUCCGGCUCCGAGCUUUCUAGGCUGGUGAUUGGCUCCAGCUAUCCCUGAGGAAGAAAGGGGUGAGAAGUGAGAGGAAGGGAAGCAGUUCCAACGGCUCCUUCCUGGCUUACACACCCCCCCCACACACACACACACACCUCCCUUUCAGCCUCACUCCCAGACUAGGCUGGGCCUGGGCCAGCCUGAGGUCCCUGACUCAUAUCUCGCGUAGUGCCUUAUGUAACAGAGCCAGGUUACUGAGGCAUCAAACCUCUGCUUGCUCAGUGGCAGGCUUCCCCGGGGCCAGGCAUUCAGAAGCCCGCUGGGGGUCUAAGUAGAGCUCGCCACACUUCCAAAGGACAAGGCCACUCUCCCUAGUGUCAGGCCAGCAGGCUGCUCAGAGGUAAGUGCCAGGCUGUGAAGGCGAUUCCCCCCAGAACUCCCACGCUCGGCAGCAAAUGUAAGCAGGCAGGUGUGCUGCUAUGGGCUUAGUGUGGUUGGGGGUAUUUUUUGAGGGGUAGGGGUGGGGCUCCUGCCAUCACCUGAUUGUACAGUGCUAAAGAGACAGCCUGGGGCAUCUGGAAGGGUCCCAGAACAGGUGUCAGAAGUUCUUCUCACUUUUGUAUCUGCUUGUUGGUUCAGGUACUGUUCUGGAGACCUUAUAGAAAAGGUUGCCAGAUGCUGGAGGAGCUCUUUUUGUUUGUUGGUUGGUUGGUUGGUUGUUUUUGCUUUUUAGGGCCUCAUCCGUUUCUGCUGCACCACAAGGGAAACUCCAGGAGGAGCUUUUUAAAAGAAGGCCUAGGAGUUUCCAUCGUGGCUCAGUGGUUAACGAAUCCGACUGGGAACCAUGAGGUUGCCAGUUCAAUCCCUGGCCCGCUCAGUGGGUCAAGGAUCCAGCAUUGCCAUGAGCUGUGGUGUAGGUUGCAGACAUGGAUCAGAUCCCGCGUUGCCGUGGCUCUGACAUAGCUACAGCUCUGAUUCGACCCCUAACCUGGGAACCUCCAUAUGCCGCAAGUGUGGCCCUAAAAAGAUAAAUAAAUAAAUAAAUAAAUAAAUAAAUAGAAGAAGGCCUAAAAGAGCCAAUUCCCAAUCCAUUCUCCAUGUAGUCUCAAAGUUCCCAGGCUGGCUUGCAUUCACAGUGAUACUUAGCUCUCCGCCUGGCCUGUUGAGAAAAUUGCAUUACUGGCUUGGUGCAGCUGAGCCCCCAGUGAAGUGGGGCUUGCCGAAUUCCACGACAUAUUUCUCUAAGAAGCUCAUUCGACUCUCUACAACACAGGAGAGUCUCAUCCAUCUAACAGCCCGUUGGCUCAAACGUUGUGACUAAACCCACCCAGGUCCUCUUCUUCUCUUUCCUUGUCUUUGCCCAGCCUUUCCCACUGUGUCACCAGCGGGUAAACGGCUCACAGGCUGAGGGUAGUUGAAGACACUGCCCUCCUGUCUGAGAAAAAGAGGAAGACACAGGGAGAUAAAGUCAAAAAGGCGGCCUGGGAAUUACCAGCCGACAUGAUUUGUAUCUGAAGCUCAGUCUCACGGAUCCUCAGACAAGCUCAAGACCUCUAUCUUGGCGCUCCAGAGAGCUGGGCACCUCAACUUCUCUGAAUCUCUGCCAGAACCCAGUGAAAACGGGGGGCGGGGGCUGAGGUGGAGGUGCAGAAUUUUCCUUUCUUGAGAUCCCCUCUGGGGCCUCCAGCCUCUCACUUCUCCCUAUUCCUCAAUCCUUUCGGUUCAUAGCCAAUCGCAGGUAAAAACAAAACAAAGCAACCAGAAACAACAAGGAAUAAGAAGAACCCUGCUCAGUUUUAAGGCAAUAUACUCUGCCUCGCCAGGCACGCAGGGAGAUGAAUGACAGCAGUACCUCGUUCGGCCUUGUACUGAGUGACCAAGCCCUCCAGUUAAUCAAUGCAUCAUUUAUCGACCACAGGCCUGCUAUUUAUCCAGUGCCUCCUGCGGAUUUAUUGACCGUCUCCCUCACUAAGCACCGUAGAGGACAGGAGAGGCGGCAGAGUCGAGGGCCCGAGCUGGGGGUGGUGGUGGUGGGGGCAGCCGAGAAUGAUGCAGCUGCACCCCAAGGCCGGCGGGGAAUAAAGCACUUCCAUCUGAGCAACAGCAGGUCGUGUUAGGCCUUCUGCUUCUUAACGGAGAGGCCUCAAGCUUGCUGCUCCCUGGAUCUGCGAGUCCGGAGCUUAGGCGGUGCCAAAGCCAACUAGGAAGGGAGAGUCUCUUUAUGGCGGCGGCUUCCAGCAGGGCCUCAAAGAAUGGGUUGGCUCUGGCUGGUGGGAAGCGGCUGUGGGGGCUCUCUUGUUGGGAGCGGGGAGGGGAACCUUGCCAGUCCAGUGGGACUCAAGGGUCAGAAGGAGCUGGCCUGGGGUGGGGACAGGGAGAACGUUUCCUCUUCUUCCUGGGCUGGAACCCAGAGUCAGCCAGCUUCAGGAAUGAGAGGCUUCCCCUGGCCCUUCUCUUAUGGCCCUUCUGUGACUCAGGGCGAGCUGGCCCCUAGUAGCCUCCCCUCGGAGACUUAGCCAGUCUUGAGAAGGCAAGGGGGCCUUUGGGGCCCGGGAGCAGGAAGGCACCUUUCCUCAAUGCUUGCGGAAAGUUCAUUGGAGUCAGGAGGGUUGAGCUUGAAGUGCAGCUGAGCGUUGCCACCGGAGGAGCCGUUGGGUGCAGCUUCACAUCUGUGCACCUCUGGCCUCAGUCUCCACCAGGCCCCAUCCCGGGGGUAAGAGAACCACGGGUGUGUCGAGGUGCUGUCCUGAGACUAUAUAUAUGUACCAUUCGCCCAAAUCUCCCUGGAAAAAAAGUUGCUGGUGGCCCCACGGGGUGUUUGUUCAUCUUAGCCUUGUGUGUCCCUUGGUCACACCCUUCUUUCCCAGAUGCUCUAUAAAUGAAGGCCUGGGGGUCGGGCUGAGGAAGGAGGGAAGCCUCAAGCUGACCGGAAAGGAGAGGGAGCAGAAGUCAUAAAAGGGACCAGCCUCAGGGCACCUGGGGAAGGAGGAUGCUGCUUAUGUCCAUAAGCACGAUGCUUUCUGGGCCCUUCUCCCCCAGCUAGUGUCCUGGGCAUCCGUGCCCACCAGUGCUCUGGCGAAUUCACAUUUCAGUUCGGGAACAGAUUCAGUCAACCACAAAAAUUGCUGUAUGCCUUCCAUGUACCAGGCUCGCUGCUAGGCACCGAGAUAGAAUGGGAAACUCACAAAAGGCAUGGUCACAGCCAUCAUGCAAUAGUCAGUCGAGUGGGGGAGAUGGACAUUAACCAAAUCGUCACACUAAUGAAUGUAUAAUUAGAAAAGAAGUGCCAAGAGGGAAAAGGAAUAAACUUCUGUCAGAGCGUCUAACAAAGGAUAAGACAAGGCUUCCUGCGGAAGUGAUAUUCAGCUAAAGGAAUGAAUCUCUAUUGCUGAAAUUCUGAUCAUCAGAUGAGAUGAUUUCUCCCGGCCAAAGGAGAAAGGUUUAGACAGGGGGCUGUCUCAGGAGCCCCUGAAGUCAUACCAUUAGGUAGCUGCUCACACUCUUGGAAAUAUUUCCAGGCCGUGAGCGGCCAGUAGGUCCAGAAGGGGAGGUCUGGCAACAUUCUGACAAGAGGAAGAGAUGAAUUUGAAGCCCACGGGGCAGCUAGUACUUAAUGUCACUCUUCGCUAAAAAUAGUCCAUGACAGUAUGGAAAUGCGUAAAGGCUGGCCCUGGGGACUGGUGAUAAAGUGGCUAUAGCCUAUGGGGAGGAAAAUUUGUUUUUGUAAAUUAUUUACUGUAAAGAAAAAAAAA
This 7059-nucleotide long non-coding RNA is filed under the name Sus scrofa (pig). RNAcentral's name for it is "lncRNA (ENSSSCG00005010565.1)". The record is from RNAcentral. Lineage: Eukaryota; Metazoa; Chordata; Mammalia; Artiodactyla; Suidae.